Molecule: ribosomal RNA, 253 nt
Filed under: uncultured bacterium
Lineage: Bacteria
Description: partial 16S ribosomal RNA
Rfam family: Bacterial small subunit ribosomal RNA
Source: RNAcentral
UACGUAGGGUCCGAGCGUUGUCCGGAAUUACUGGGCGUAAAGAGCUCGUAGGUGGUUUGUCGCGUUGUUCGUGAAAUCUCACGGCUUAACUGUGAGCGUGCGGGCGAUACGGGCAGACUAGAGUACUGCAGGGGAGACUGGAAUUCCUGGUGUAGCGGUGAAAUGCGCAGAUAUCAGGAGGAACACCGGUGGCGAAGGCGGGUCUCUGGGCAGUAACUGACGCUGAGGAGCGAAAGCGUGGGGAGCGAACAGG